GCCGGGUUAGCUCAGUGGUAGAGCAACUGAUUUGUAAUCAGUAGGUCGUCGGUUCAAAUCCGACACUCGGCUCCA
Molecule: transfer RNA, 75 nt
Filed under: Verrucomicrobiaceae bacterium
Lineage: Bacteria; Pseudomonadati; Verrucomicrobiota; Verrucomicrobiia; Verrucomicrobiales; Verrucomicrobiaceae
Description: tRNA-Thr
Rfam family: tRNA
About the family: Transfer RNA (tRNA) molecules are approximately 80 nucleotides in length. Their secondary structure includes four short double-helical elements and three loops (D, anti-codon, and T loops).
Source: RNAcentral